Molecule: long non-coding RNA, 568 nt
Organism: Hyaena hyaena (striped hyena)
Lineage: Eukaryota; Metazoa; Chordata; Mammalia; Carnivora; Hyaenidae
Exons: 3
Source: RefSeq, a predicted model, not a curated record
GACCCGCUUUCCCCGGAGGGAGCCGGGCACCGCGGCCGCGACUCGGUUAUCCUGGGUUCCGGCUGUCCCCCUCUGCUCGGCCCACCGCGGGGGCUCUUCGUAACCGUAGCCGCAGGCUUUGCCCCCCUCCCCCGGUUUCUCUUCGCCGCGCUCCUCGUCUCAAGUUCCGGUCUUAGUGACAGGUUGGACGGCGCCACCAGCCCGGGCCGGUGAUACCGUCUCUUUCCCCUGCCUUUCUGCGGGGGAUCCUUCCAGCCGGCUGUGCUGGAGGAAGAAGGAAGAGUGAGUGUAAAUUAAGAUAUUUUCUUGAUGUGAUGUGUAAUCGCUAAUAACAUUAUAUGUGAAGAGCACAUGACAACAUGGAAGAAUACUUAUAAGUGGAGGCAUCAGCAAAGUAUGACCUGUUCCUGGUUGAGAUUUCUGGGUGGAGGAGCAGGUGGUUGACCAAAAAUAUUGGCAGCCAUAAUUUAGAGGCUGCUGUAAGACAGAAAGUGGAAGAGGGUGAAAGACAAGAGGCAAGGCUUUUGGAUUAAUGGAGUAAGGAGCUCAGCAAGUCUCCCCACCCACC